This 39566-nucleotide long non-coding RNA is filed under the name Sorghum bicolor (sorghum). Its description in RNAcentral is "long non-coding RNA (SBIC_LNC006684)". The record is from RNAcentral. Lineage: Eukaryota; Viridiplantae; Streptophyta; Magnoliopsida; Poales; Poaceae.
CUAUGUAGCUAUGCUAAUCUAGAUAUCUAAUUGAUGUGGUGGCUCUAAUCUUGAUUAGAGGCUUCUUCUCCCUUGAUGGAACAAUGAAUUAGGUUUGAGAGGCUCUCUCCUCCAGGGGCUAGGGGGUCUGGUUUUAUAGUCCCUUCAAGUGAAUAUGGGCCAUUGGAUCAAACCGACAUAGAUUGUAUGGUUUAGAUUCAUCCUUUAGGUCGGUGGAGAUCUCCCGCAAAGCAGAGUCCUGAUUGGACUCCUGGAGGGGCGGGCGCCCAGGGGAACAGGGCGGGCGCCCUGCCUCUGGCCCCGUUUCGCCUCCGCUUCGGUCUCGUGGCUUCUGGAGUCUUCUAGAUGUAAGAUAAUUGCGCAGCACGUUAAUAUCUUUACGUAAUCUCGACAUGUGGGCCUUUCUUCCAUAUUUGCUGAUAACCCCCUGCAGAAAUAGACAAACACCAAAACUCAUGGAAUUCUGUCAGAUAAAACCCUAAGUCUAGAUGUUGAUUUCAUUUGGAUCCUUUUCUUUAUUUAUUUGAUAAUUAAAUUUGAUACUUAAGGACCGUCAACAAACUCCCCCAAGCUUACCUCUUGCUCGUCCCUGAGCAAGGAUAGACUCAGCUAUGGAUCAUAAGUUGUUGCAAUAUUUAAAAAAUUGACGGUACACAUGCUUUUAAAUAAGACCUCAUCUCUGAGUUAGAGUAAACUGUCAAGACUUAAAACUUACUUACUUUACCUUCACCAUGGGACUUGUAACCGUCACUUCUGUCUUGAGUGGUUAAAAGAUAGAACAGUCUAGCCAAGUGCCAUGUCUCUUAUUCUUGAUCAGCUAUAGCUCUGGGGUUUUUGUAGAUUUUCAAAUAAAACUCAGAGAUUCCUUGUAUGAUUCUCUCAGGUCUCUCUUUUGUGGUAUUUUUGGAUCCUUACCAAGGCAGUGAUGGUAUAUGCCUUCUCCCAAGAUAUGUGGUAUUUGUGGUAUGAGGCAUAGUGACAUUGCCUUCUCUCUCACCAUACUCUAAUAAGGCUUUUAAUAUCUGGAGCUCAUAGGUGGGAGAUAAAGUAUACAUACUUAUAAGACAUGUAUUGUAUAGUCAAACCAUGGAUCCAAAGUAACAAGUCAAUAAGUUUAAUCAAGAUGUGCAUGUGUGGCGAAUGAAUGGUGUAUGGUGAUGAUGGUGAUAACAAUGGUGAAAACAAUGGAGGUGGAAGUCUAAUUCUACUUUUGCUCUUUUGAGGGGUUACAUACCUUCCUUGCUUUUUGAAACUUUAUGAGGAGAAUGAGAUGCUCUAUAUUUUUUUUUCUCUCAGGUGGGUAUCUUGUACCCCUAAUUCUACUGUCAGACACUUGUCCAUUUUUACCUCUCGUCUCACUUUUCUUUUCUUUCGAGGUUCCGAGCACUUGCUCCUUUUUAUUUCCUCGUAUAUAUAUAUAUAUUUUUUCUUUUUUUUUCUUCUUUUUUUUAAAGCAUUCAUCUCUUGAGAUAAUAUAGCAAGUGGUAGUAACAAGAUAACUUGAGCAUUUAUUUCACAAGGGGAAAACAGAAAUAUUUUUGGUUAUUCUCUCCCGGAUUAGGAGUAGAAUAUUUUUGGGUAAUUCUGGAGAUGGAAUGGGUGAAUAUAUGUGGAUGGUACUUCCGGAGUAGAAGUAGCAUAUAUGAGUGAACGUGCAAGUGAAAUCUUGAUUUAACCACAUGACAAGCUCCUAAGGGUCAACACAGCUUGACCAUACUCAAUGCUCAUAAGGAGUAAAUAGUAAAUGUGUGGCUCAAAGUCUAGCAAGCAUGUAUAUAUGGCUAUGGUAGGAAUUUAAACUCUCAUCAUACAGAAACUCAUCAUGCAACAUUUUAAAGAUUUUUAAAGAUAAAAUUCUCCAGAAUUCUAGCAUCUCUAGGAACAGAUAAACAGCAGCUCAACCUUCCCAUAUCAUAUCCGUUAACAACUUAGACUUCAGAUCAAGUUUUCAUCCCACAAGUUUAGGUCUAGAGCAAGCUUUAAAUUAUAACAGUUAUAUCUAAACUUGAGAGAGAACUUAAAAUUUGCAAAUUAGGCAGAGCAACUAUUUAUCAUAUCCAUGCUUAAGUUUUAUUUAGAUACAGAUUAGCAUAGCCACUUUAUUUAUUUAUUAAACACACUAAGCAAAAGAUAUAUAUAUAAGCAUAAAAUCUUUAUUUGGUUUUUCCUUGUUUUUGUAUUUUAAUAUUCUAAUAUAGUAUAAGUAUAAAGAUAGACAGAAAUACUUAUCGGGAUAAAUGGGGGUGCUCUCCCCCAAGCUGAAUUUUGACGUAAUUUCUCUUGAUGUAGCUAACAGGUGGCGGAGGUGUAUUUGAAAGUCGGCAGCAUUUUGACAGCGAUUAGAAUGUCCUCUGUCUGCUAGUCUUCUUGAUUCUUAAAUUCUGUGGAGCUCAAAUAGACAACAAAGGUUGUAUAUAGAUCCAAUCUAACUAAGCCAAGUACAUAACUAUGAUAAACUAAGAACAAUAUAAUCUUGAAUAUAAGCAAGUAGAGCAAAGUCAUAAGCAAUAUAUUGAAGUAGAACAAAGUCAUAUUUAUAAUAUUGAAGAACAAAGAUAAUUAGAAAGCAAUUAGAAGCACAAUUAGAGAAUUACCAAGAAUCCUCUUGACAGAUCUAGAAACCAAUCGAAGAUUGACUCCUUCUAGUUCUAAUCCUAUGUAGCUAUGCUAAUCUAGAUAUCUAAUUGAUGUGGUGGCUCUAAUCUUGAUCAGAGGCUUCUUCUCCCUUGAUGGAACAAUGAAUUAGGGUUGAGAGGCUCUCUCCUCCAGGGGCCAGGGGGUCUGGUUUUAUAGUCCCUCCAAGUGAAUAUGGGCCCUUGGAUCAAACCGACAUAGAUUGUAUGGUUUAGAUUCAUCCUUUAAGUCAGUGGAGAUCUCCCGCAAAGCAGAGUCCUGAUUGGACUCCUGGAGGGGGCGGGCGCCCAGUAGGACAGGGCGGGCGCCCUGUCUCUGGCCCCGUUUCGCCUCCGCUUCGGUCUCGUGGCUUCUGGAGUCUUCUAGAUGUAAGAUAAUUGCGCAGCACGUUAAUAUCUUUACGUAAUCCCGACAUGUGGGCCUUUCUUCCAUAUUUCCUGAUACCCCCCUGCAGAAAUAGACAAACACCAAAACUCGUGGAAUUCUGUCAGAUAAAACCCUAAGUCUAGAUGUUGAUUUCAUUUGGAUCAUUUUCUUUAUUUAUUUGAUAAUUAAAUUUGAUACUUAAGGACCGUCAACAGUGAGUUCCCGGAUGUAUUUCCUGAUGAUUUACCCGGGCUUCCUCCGGAUCGGGAUGUGGAGUUCAAAAUUGAGUUGAUUCCAGGUACCGCUCCUAUCUCUAGAAGACCUUAUAGAAUGCCACCCAAUGAAUUAGCUGAGCUUAAGACGCAACUGAAUGAGUUGUUGAAGAAGGGUCUUAUCCGUCCUAGUUCGUCUCCAUGGGGUUGUCCGGCUAUCUUUGUGAAGAAGAAGGAUCAAUCUUUGCGCAUGUGUGUGGACUAUCGUCCCCUAAAUGCGGUGACCAUCAAGAAUAAAUACCCUCUUCCUCGCAUUGAUAUCUUGUUUGAUCAGUUGUCUAAAGCCAAGGUAUUCUCCAAGAUCGAUUUGCGAUCUGGGUAUCAUCAGAUCAAGAUCCGUCCUGAAGAUGUACCUAAGAUAGCUUUCUCGACGAGGUAUGGGUUGUAUGAGUAUCUCGUCAUGUCCUUCGGUCUUACAAAUGCAUCUGCUCACUUCAUGUAUCUCAUGAAUUCGAUGUUCAUGCCUGAAUUGGACAAGUUUGUGGUGGUCUUCAUUGACGAUAUCCUAGUAUAUUCCUGCAAUGAAGAGGAGCAUGCAGAGCAUCUACGUGUAGUGUUGUCGCAUUUGCGCGAACAUCAGCUUUAUGCCAAGUUUAGCAAAUGCGAGUUUUGGCUGAAGAAAGUACCUUUCUUGGGCCAUGUCUUAUCUGAAGAAGGCAUAUCGGUGGACCUAGCCAAGGUGCAAGAAGUGCUGGAUUGGAAAGUUCCAACUUCAAUACACGAGGUUCGGAGUUUUCUUGGUCUGGCUGGAUAUUAUCGCCGAUUCAUUCCAGAAUUUUCAAAAAUAUCCAAGCCUAUGACUCGUCUACUUCAGAAAGAUGAGAAGUUUGUGUGGACGCCUGAGUGUGAAGAGGCAUUCCAUAAGUUGAGAACAUUGUUGACAUCAGCUCCUGUCCUAGCUCAACCUGAUAUCGAAAAGCCCUUCGAUGUUUUCUGCGACGCGUCGGGAAUUGGUUUAGGCUGCGUGUUGAUGCAGGAAGGUCGCGUUAUCGCGUAUGCCUCACGCCAACUUUGAAAGCAUGAGGUCAAUUACCCUACUCAUGACUUAGAAUUGGCAGCAGUUGUUCAUGCUUUGAAAAUCUGGAGGCAUUAUUUGCUGGGUAAUCUGUGUAAUAUCUACACUGAUCAUAAGAGCCUCAAGUAUAUCUUCACUCAACCUGAACUGAACAUGCGGCAGCGAAGGUGGCUUGAGUUGAUUAAAGAUUAUAAUCUACAAGUGCACUAUCAUCCGGGCAAGGCGAACGUGGUAGCGGAUGCCUUGAGUCGGAAAGCGCACUGUCACUCAAUCCAAGUGGAAGAUCCGUUGUUGUCACAUCUUAUGCAUCCACUUGUACUCCACCAGAUUUCUCUAGAGAGUACUCUUCGCAAUCGAGUCAUCGAAUUGCAGCAAACAGAUGUAGGCAUCCACCAUAUAAAGAGGAAAAUGAAGGAAGAAGAAACCAAGCAUUUCUGGGUCGAUGAGAAUGGAAUUCUUUGGUUCAAAGAUCGACUAGUGGUCCCAAAAGACCGUGAGCUGCGAAAUCAGAUCUUGUCUGAAGCUCAUUCAUCCAAAUUGUCUAUCCAUCCUGGUAGUAGCAAGUUGUAUCAGGAUCAGAAACCCCUAUUUUGGUGGACAAAGAUGAAAAAGGAGAUCGCUGCUUUUGUCGCCCGUUGUGACAAUUGUUGUCGUGUGAAGGCUGUUCACAUGAAAGCUGGUUUGCUUCAACCCUUGUCAAUUCCUGGUUGGAAAUGGGAAGAAGUCAGCAUGGAUUUCAUCGUUGGACUCCCAACUUCUAUUAAGGGUUACGACUCAAUCUGGGUGAUUGUAGAUCGUUUGACCAAGGUUGCUCGAUUUAUUCCAGUUCGAACUGACUAUCGUCCGCAUCAAUAUGCAGAAUUGUAUUUCGAGCACAUUAUUCGUCAGUAUGGUGUGCCUCGAACUAUUGUAUCAGAUCGUGGACCGCAGUUCACUGCUCGUUUUUGGGAAUGUCUACAUGAGCAGAUUGGUACUCAUCUAGUCCGUAGCUCUGCUUAUCAUCCCCAAACAGCAGGUCAGACUGAACGGGUUAACCAAAUCCUAGAAGACAUGUUGAGGGCAUGUGCUCUCUCUUCAAAAGGUUCUUGGGUUAAGUGGUUGCCAUUGACUGAGUUCUCCUACAACAAUAGUUACCAGGAGAGUAUCAAGAUGGCUCCAUUUGAAGCCCUGUACGGUCGAAAGUGUCGAACCCCGUUGAAUUGGGUAGAAGCCGGAGAGCGAAGGUAUUAUGGCAUCGAUUUCGUGAACGAAGCAGAGCAAAAAGUCCGUACGAUCCAGCAACAUCUGGAAGCUGCUCAAGCUCGUCAGAAAAGUUAUGCCGACAAAAGAAGGAAGCCGAUUGAGUUUUCAGUUGGUGACCAUGUGUAUAUCAAGGUUUCUCCGAUGAAGGGUGUACAAAGGUUCGGAGUCAAGCGAAAGCUUGCACCUCGUUAUGUGGGACCUUAUCGGGUUCUCAAAAAGAAAGGGGAUGUGGCGUACAUCCCAGUUGCGCUUCGAGCUAUUUUCCCUGUCUUCCACGUAUCACAAUUAAAGAAGCGCCUUCAUGUACCGGAGGAACGAGUGGAAGUUCGGGAUAUCAAGUUGAAGUCAGACUUGGUAUACGAAGAAAAACCUGUAGCGGUUCUUGAUCGCAAGGAACGGGAGACUCGUAAUCAUGUGGUUAAAUUCUACAAAGUGUUGUGGAGUAACCACGGGGAAGAUGAUGCCACUUGGGAGACGGAGGAUUAUUUAAAAGAAGUUUACAAAACAUUCUUCGAAAAUCAGUAAGCUUUCAAAUCUCGGGACGAGAUUUUUGUAAGGGGGAGGGCUGUAACACCCCAGUGUUAUGGUUGCAUUAAUCAUGUGUAUAGCAUGAGCAUCAUCAUCUACUCAAAGCAUAUCAUGAUCAUCAUCUAUCUUGAGCCAUGUCAUUCUAUGCAAAAAUGUGAUCUAAAGUGCUUAAAUAGGCUUUCUAUGCUUAGGUUUGAGUGAACCAUGCUUGUGUUUGUGCUCUAUGUCUUGGUAAUUAGUUUAUCUAUGCUUAACUUAAUCUUGGGAACAAUGUUCAUGUUGAUCACUUCUCCAAAAUAAUCACUUAAGUCAUACUUUUACAAAUAGGCCCUGGAAACCUCUUUUGCUUAGGCUUUUAAAAAGUGUUUCAUAAAAUGUUUGCAUGUCAAAACUUUCUACCGCAAAGUUGUAGCAAAUUUUAUAAGAAACAAAAGUUGUUUUAUGGCCAUCUCAUGAAAAUGACCACAAAUAGCUCAAAAGUGACCCACAAGGCAGAAUUGGGGCUGUUUCCAACACUUAGAAAAUUUUCUAAGUCCUGGAACGAAACCAGUUUGCUUGAUCGAUUUUGAAAACUCUAUAUCUUUCAAUCCAGGCCGAUCUGGCUUUUGCUCUAGUUGACAAUGUUGAAGAACUCGUUUGGAACUCCAACUUUGUCAACUACACCAUCUCCUAACUUGCUCUGGUUUGGAAGUUAUUCUUCGACGAAGUUGCUCUGUCAGUCGGUGAUCGCGAGGUCCGAUUCAGAGAGGAGCUCCCCGUCGGGAACGUCCAGAGCGCCACCUGUCCGCCAGAUGGCGCCCGUACGCCGGCGAUGGCCCCACUCGUCAGCUCCCUACGCACGCAUGACCUCCACGGCGACGCCCCGAGCAGAGUGGACGCGUCCACUCUCGCCUUCCUCGCCCUCUCGCGCCUGUAACCCGCCCGCAGCGAGCUCACCGUCGCGAGCUCACUCCGGCGAGCUCGUGCGCGUUCCUUGCUGCGCCAUUGCCCACCAAACUUCACCCAAAGCUUCACCGUGAACUGCUCUCCAUUCUCCACCCAUCUUCUCGCCGAGAAAUCCACCGGUGAGCCGCCAUUCCCUUCUUUCCCCAAAUCGGGUCGCCGCGAGCAUCUUUUCUGGCGAACUCAAUGCCGAGCCCUGUGAAGCCGCUCGUCUUCUCUGGUUAGGUCCUAGAGGUAGAGUAGGUCCUUAGCGAGCGUUUGCGCCACUUGGUGGACGCUCUACCAAACUCUCCGUCGCCGGACACGAUGCGCAGCGCCGCCGUGUUUCCGCCGGAGAUGGGUGCUCUCGUGGCCAGCGUGUUCCACGAGGUUUCAAGCCAAGCCGCGUACCUAGGAAGCUUCGCCGUAGUCCGCUGGUGCUGUAGAAGGCCUUAGGUCGCGCUCUACCGGCCUGAGGGCUCCGACGUAACGCCGAGCACCUCCGCCGAGCCGCCAUGGUCGACGGCAAGCCCCUUCCGGUGGCUCCGCCGUGGGGAAAAGGGGGUCAAUCGAGUCACUAGAGUCUAGGGAUCACGUUGGUGCCCCUGGUUUGGCCGGAGACCUCGCCGUCGCGGAGAAAUCGCCGGCGAGAAUCACCUCGGCCGUGAGGGAGAAGAACCUGACAGUCGGGGUCCACUGUCAGUGUCAUCCUCCUUCCCUCCUUUUCUUUUAUUCAAAUCUAGAUUUUUGGCUUUCUUGCAAAAAUCAUAUCUCCUGUUUCUGAGAUCAAAAAUUGUGAAACCAAUUUUGUGGUAUUCCUUGAGAUGGCUAGUUUUUAAUAAAAAUAUAAAAUGAACCAUGUUUUCUGGAAAAAUAUUUAUUAAGGAAUUAAUCUUGUUAUUCAUGGAUAAUUCAUAUCUCUUGUUGUACUGUUGAGUUUGCCUUGAAAAUUUUAUAGUAAUCUCUGUGUGGUACUAGAGUGCUAUGAUAAAUAUUUCAUGAUUUUUGGAGUACUGCAGCUUUGUUAUGUAAUUUAUGUUUGAGUUCUGGCUUGUUUCUUUAAUUAAAUCAUAUAAAAUAAUUGGUGUUUAUGCUGGUGCUCUACUUUGGUAGUAAACUUGUUUAUGGUAUUCAUAAUAUAUAAAUAAUCUGAAAUCUGUUGUUUGACACCAUAUAAGUCAUGUUUCUGAAUUUAUGGAAUAAACACCUUGUAACAUGUUAAAUACAUAUCUUUAAUUGGGUAUGUGCUUUUGCUCUGAAAUGUUUAUGGUGAUGUCUUGAUGCCCUACUUGUGCUUCUGUAAUUUUUGUAGAUUUUUCUGAGCACUUUGACUAGUAUCUUGUAAUUAUGCUCCUCUCUAGAAUUAAAUUAAUAAAUGCAUUGUUAAUAAACUUUUGGAGGUUAUCAUGUGGUGUUCUGGUAACCUUAUGGCAUGCUUGUACUUAUAAGUUGAGUGGUUAACACUGUUUAUGCUUUGGCUAUAUCAUUAAAUAAUUAAUGGAUGGGUUAAAAGCUGUUCUUGACAGCAAGGGGGUGGUUUAACUUUUGCUUAAAGAUAACUUGGUUUUCUGGGAAACUUGUAUAAAUCAAAGUUGUUGCCAACUUAUUGAACUAUCUGUGGUUUAAAUUUGGGGUCAUUUGGCCUAGUAGUUUAAAAGUUAUAGCUUUUCCAAGUUGGGUUCCAGAAAUAGGUGCUCUCUGUUUUUCUGGGACAGAACCUGGAACUUUAUUUAAAUGACUGGUUUAAUAUAUGAUUCUUGCUGUAAUGUUUAAAGAUGAUUUGUAGACAAUUUCAUAAGCUUUCCAGAAUGUCCUCACUUAUGUUUGUUGGAUCUUUGUGGCAAUAGUUAUGAUCUGUUUACUGAGCUAAUCCUGCUGUUUGUUGCUUGCUGUUAUAGGCUAUCAUGAUAGGUUUUGGGCUAAGUUAACUUAUUAUCUUGUGUGAACUUGUUAUAAUUUUUGCUCCGUAAAUGAGAGUCCAGUGGGUCAUUUAUGUUAUCAAGCAUUCAUUCUUUUGUAUGCACACCUUCUCAUUCACCGAGCAUGCAAUAGGUGCAUCGGACGUGGCAGCCUCCUUCGAUCUGCAAGUGAACCCCGAAGGCCAGGAGGGCAGCCAGGAGGUGGAGGUCCAGCAAGUCGGACUCGAGGAGCCCGAAGAAGAUGUUGAGUGCCCAAGUCACGAGCCAGCCUCGUUCGUGAAAGGCAAGCCUCGGAGCAUUCUAAGCCUCCCUUUAAUUUUGAAAGUUUAUUGAAUAUGUUAUAUCUAUUGAUGCAUUAAGUGUAGGAGUUGUGAUGAAACUUUUGCUGCAUUUUACUCCAUCCUUGUCCAGAUAACUCACCUCACCUUGGUUAUAGAGUUAGGAUCGAGUAGCAGCUUAGCCAUGCUUAAUCGGUAGAAGUCGGGUGAUUUCUUGUCACCUGCGCGAUAUAGGGUUGUGUCGGAUCACGAUGGACUAUAUGUGCUAUCGUGGAUGGAACCUGAUUAAUUUGACUUAAGUCGGGCGGAGUUUUGCAAGGUUGUAGUAACUCCGUCUGUGGCAGCUAAGGACUGAUCGUUGUACGUCCUCUUGUCAUGUUGAACGCAUGCCUGACACUUAUUUGGCCGGAUAACUCGUUCCGACCGCGAAGCUGAGUAGUAUGACUCAGGCAUCAAGACCGGCAAGUAUAAAGUGCGCACUACCAGAGGAAGUGCGGCGUGCGGGGGACCAUUGGCGUAAGCCCAAAGGCAGGUGAGUUAAAAUUCCUGACCUCCCUGGCAGAGUGGUAGCCCUGGGAGUGCGGCGCUGAUCGGAGCCGCGAUUCCUGAGUUGUACCAAAGGUGACCCGUUGGCUCUCCGACGGGGGAUGCUUGGGUGAGUGCUAGGAAUAACCCUCCAGCUGGAUAGGAAUUCGAUUCGAAUCGCCGUCUCUCUCGGUCAGUGAGAACAUGACAGAGCAGCGGCAAACGUAGCAUUCACUAAUGAACUUGGUUCAUGAUAAUGAUGGUAGCAAGGAAGAACAUAUGAUGAACUUGAUAUGGUUAUUAUUGCUUAUAAUAAUCAAGUGAAGUGCUUUAGUACAGGUGCUAAUCUAGCAGUAGGCUAAUAGUAAAUAAAUGUGAUGAUCUUACAUUGGGUUAGUCUUAAUAAAGGCUUUUGGCAAAAUGUUGAGUCAGCCAGCUCUACUUUUAUAUAUUAGCCUUGCAUGAUCCUUGGUGUCUGUUGGUGCAAAAGCUGAUCUGCAAACACAAAGGGCUAAUACCCGAUUUAAACGUUAAGGCGUGCCAGCCGAUUUGACCUUACUAUCGGCAAAGGUGGUAACUCGAAUACUUUGGUCCUGGCAACAGCGAUGCGCCAGGAUGCCACGGCCAAGAGGUAUUCACACGGAACUUGAGAACACGCCGAGCUUAAGUCGACGAAUUCCUAAUAACUCGUAAUAAAAGAAAAAAGGUAUGACGAAGUCGUCGAAAAAGUAGAUGCUUAGAAUAUGAGUAAAAAACGUGUGUUUGAUUGAUUGAUAUCUGUCUCAUUACAAAGCCCUAGGGUUUAUAUUUAUACCCUGCUCAAAGAGCUACAACCAGACACGACUAGAACUCGAAUUCCAAAUUACACAGAAUCCGUAUACAAAACGAUUUGAAUAACUAAGGAAAACAUAAAACUGUCCCCCCGUGAUAAACUGAAACACCUCCACAAGCCGAUCGGCAGCUUCCAGACUCUUCCUCCAUAUCAUCGGCAGAUUCCCUUGUCGUAGCCAUCGGCACAGACACAUCACAACCUAUGGACUUAGUCAUGUUCAACAGCCCCUCCAUCGGCUACCAUCCUCCAUCGGCAACUCAUCCUACAGAUCAAGCAACACCAUUUCAUCUUGCCGAUCCACACUUUAUCGAUCAUGGACACGUGCCCGAAAACGGUGUCAACACAUGCCCCCCAAUUUCGGAGUAUGAAAUCAUUGAUGCUCCGAAAUUCUCUGCAAUAAUGAUGCUUUUUUCUGCAAUUAAUGCUCCUAAUCUGGUAACCGACAGCCUCAAUCUAAACAACCCCGAUCCUAUUCUUCCGCAGACUCCUCGAAGUCCUCAACUUCCCUAAAUGGACAUUUCCCCUUUAGCCGCUUGUCGGCAAUAUGACCGUUACAGAGACUUGCCGAUAGACAUCCAUAUCUUAUCCUUCCAAACAGCCAUCUCCACAUCACUCCCCCAUCGGCAAUAUGACCGUUACCAGGCGCUAUUGAUGGACCGACCAGGAGAUCCCGCACAGUAAAAUAUCUCUGGAUAAUGACCGUUUCCUGUCAAAUCACCUGCACAAUCCUUGAUUACCGUGUGAACAGUUACCAUAUCUACCCGAGCACUCUCGCAUUUCGUGGAUGCGGCAAAGAGAUAAGUCAGAUUUGCCCUUGCCCGUUUUGUCCUAUAAAUAGUUCCUUCUCGGGUACUCCUUCUCCAUCACAUCAUUCCACCAUCCCAGCUUUACUUUCCCAGCGGCGGCGCCUUUCAAGGUCUCCAAGAUUCCCGACGAAGUCUCUUCUUCAUCAACUCCGGAGCCUUCGAUCGUCCUUCCUGUGGCAAGAUGGCCGUCAACUUCAUUGUUCCGGAGGUCAGUUCUUCAUUUCAUCUUUCAUCCCUGUUCAUCCGCAAUGCAUUUCACUGAACAUUUUUCCUUAUUUUUCUUUGUGUUUUUCUUUUCUUCCUCCAAAACCAUUAGGAAUCGGCUAAUAAAAUUGUCAUCCCCACCGAUCAACCACACCUCCAAUGCCUCGGCCCGCUAGGAGAUCCAGAUCCAACCGACCUCAUAAACGCAGAAACCAACAGGAUCCCUUUUAGAGCAGAGAACUUUUCUUUGGAUCUAUAGAAGGAUACUUUCCGUUCCUGGCCCAGCCCUACCAUGGGGUGGAAGGAUUGGUUCUUGAGGGUCAGCAACUCCAAUGAAAUCUAGUGGGGCGAGAGAAAGCUAGACCAAUGCAUUAGGUUGUCCAUUGCCGAUAUGCAUAAGAAUGAAUCACUGUUGAUAGCUGCAUCUUAUUUCUGGUCAGACACCCUCAAUGCCUUUGUCUUUGGCCAUGGCCCUACUUCCCCUACACUUGCCGAUGUAGCUAUGCUCACUGGCCUGGAUAUAUCUUCUGCCAAUAGCACCCACUUCUUCGAUACCAAACCCAGUGCUAAGGUAGAAACCCGCACCAUCAGCGGCUGGUCGGGGUAUAUCCAAAAAUACCGCAAAACAGGCCCUGUUGACGCAAAAGAGCAGACCUGCUUCCUGAACAUGUGGCUAGACAAAUUCAUGUUUUGUGGCCGAUCGGCAGGACCAACUUCUGUUUAUCUAGCAGCAGCAGAAAAUCUGGCCAAUGGUGGCCGAUUUCCCCUCGGCCGAUACCUGCUUGGAGCAGCCUAUCACCUCCUCCACCAAGUAACUAAGAAGCUCUUGCUUGGCCAGUCCAUCGGUAAUCUGGGAGGUCCCUGGUGGUUUAUUAACAUGUGGCUCAAUCUCCACAUAAACAAGCGUCUGGAGUUCAAUCUUUUCGCUCAGCGUUUUCCAAGGGACAUAGCCGAGAACCAUGUGCUGGGUGAAGAGGAAUCGGCAACACGCCCUCCUUUGAACUUCGGUGAAGCUGUCAUAGUUCUGCCUGGCACAGGGAGUAAUCCAGAUCAGAUUAGCCAAUUCUUCCAAACCUUGUACGAAGGAUUGGCCAGAGAUGAGCGAGCAUGGUUAGCUUAUGAUGACCCAGACACCGUGUUUCCUCUGGUUUUCAAUCCGUUCGACGAAGCUCUUGAUAAGGACAAUGAAGUAAUGAUGGCAUUGGUGACUCCUAGAGCCAUACCAGUGAACUUCUUUGGCAGUGGAAAAACCUCUCCCCAUACUUAUGAAUUUUACAAUCCAUCGGCAUUAGCUCGUCAGUUAGCUUUCGGCCAGCUGCCGAUCGCACUCUGUUAUGUCGAUGUGAUAAAGCCCAGAGAAACCAUUAACAGUCUCCUUGAAUGGAUCCGAUUGGCCCAACUGCCAUCAAGUGCCGAUACAGAUGUAAACCUGUCAGAGUGGGUACCAGCCGCCUUCCUCACUCAGGCAUACAAGCAGUGGUGGGCAGAAUGGAAGGAGCACCUAUUCUGCAAAUCGGCCCUUUCGUAUCGCGGCAUGAUCGAUCCUGAGUACGAAGUCCCCACUGACACUGUAAGUAUCUUUAAACCGAUGUUCCAAUUCUUUCAAUUCUAUUUCCAUCGGUAACUGAUUCUUUGUGUGACUUUUCAGGUCGAUAACACCCCUCCGUCGGUCAGUAGAAGUGGCAAGCCGAUUGAUCUAUUUGCAUCGGGUCCAAUCUCUUCAAUCGGCCACAAUGCUCCUACCUUGGCCGCCAUCGUACAUCGAGGCAUACGCCUCAAGAAGGUUACCACCAAGAGAACUCAGACAUCACCAUCGGUAGCCGCUUCCACUCUGGCACAGGCUUUCAAGGUAAUUGCCAAACCUUUUCAUUUAUACCAAUCUUCCUUUCACAUCUGCUACAUUGAUACAAGUCUUCUUUUCUGCAUCAGCAAACCAGCGCAUCGGCAAGGACAAAAAGUAAAGGUACCGAUGCCCCCCAGUCCAGCCAGCAAAAGAGAAAGGGUACCAAAGGUACCAGAGCACAGGCAAAGCGCCAGAGAGUAGCAACUCCCCCUCCUCCUCCGGUAUCUCCAAUCCCGGUGGAGUCUUCCCCUUCUUCUCUAGAAGUCCAGACGCAGCAAGCACCAUCUUCCCCACCAAUGCAAGAAGCACCACAGGUGGAAGAACCUCAACAAGAAGUACCUCAGCCAGAAGACGCACCAGCUGACGUGCAUGAACCAACUGCCGAUCCAGCAGGUUCUAUUAUAGCAUCAGUAGUCUCUUCCAUCCAGACAAGAACUGCCCUUCCUCAAGGUAACACAUUUUAUUACUGCCGAUAAACUCAUUCUUUUCCGGUCUUAUAACCCCUUCUGUUAAUUUUCAGCUGACAUAGCUCCAUCGGCAAUUCUGGCCGAUCAACCCGUGGCUCCAUUGGUGUCUUCGAGUCAGAGGCAAGAGAUAGCCUUGAAACAAGUAAGCCAUCCAAUCUCAAUCAAUACUAUUUGCCGAUGCUCUGAUCAUAGAAUAAUUCACUUCGUUUUCCUUUUUAGGAACAAGAUUCUCCCGACAGUCUAUUCUCCUUCGCCAUUGAUAUCUCCAAAGACGAAGGUGAAGAAGCAAGUUCCUCUCGGGCAGUUGGGAUCGCAUCGGCAGAGAUCAGAGCCAAGCUAGAAGAAUUGUCAGCCCUCCUUCAUCAAGACACGGCUCAACUGGUCGAUGACUCUGACCCGGCCAAGGUUCUGUUCAAGGCCCUCAGAGGCCAGAUUCCCGCUGAUGCCGAGAAAACCCUCUUCCAGGCCGCACAUCUGGAGAGUCGUCAGCUGCAGUAUCAGAAGGCCGCUCGGCGCCUUGCCGAUAGAGUUGCUCAAACCCGGCUUUCUGAGGAGAUGAUGAAAGAGAAGCUCCUGACCGAUGAGAAGCACAAGACCAUCGGUACCUUGAAGUCAUCAGGCGACGCAUUGAAACAGAAGAUUUCUGAUUUAUCGGCCAAAAGAGAAGCCUUGCUGGCAGAACUCAAGCAAGUGGAAGAUGUUCUAUCUCAAGCCCGACAGGAAGAGAGUCAGUUGCCAGAGACCAUCAAACUUCUUGAACAAGAACGGAAUGCCCAUGGUCGCAAAGCACUGUAGCUGAAGAAGAAGCUGAAGUCGAUAGAAGGCUCUGCCGAUGACGACGUAAAGGAGAUAAAGGAAGCCAACCAAAUCCGGCUGCGCGCCAUAUCGACGAUCCAGGCACUGUUGAACACAUGAAGCUUUCAUCGGCGAUACAUCUUCCAGUCCUCUCAUUGUUUUUAGUCUAGCCAAUAGGAUUGUUAUCGGCAACUUUUGAAACACUAAGUCUGACCCCAGAUACGCUUUAAUCCAGCCGAUAGGAGUGUUAUCGGCAUUUAAACUUUUAUGCAUCGACCCAUAUGCUGGGGUGGUACUUCUUUAAAUAUUUGCCAUUUAAUGCUCUGGGAAAUUCGAAUCCUUCGAGAGUUUCUAAAAUGUAAGCGUUACCAGGGGCCGAUCGACUUAUCCGAUAGGGACCUUCCCAAUUGGGAGACCACUUUGCAAACCUCGAACUUUUAGUCCCGAUCGGUAAAAUCAAUUUCCACACCAAGUCUCCAUCGGCAAACUCCUUAGCCUUUACCUUCUUAUCGUACCAUCUGGCAACCCUUUUCUUAUUCUCUUCUAUGCUCAUCAAAGCCCUUAACCGAUGCCCUGCUAGAUCAUCCAACUCGUCUGUCAUCAGAGUAGCAUAAUCAUUGGCAGCCAACUGAUCUUGAAAAGAUAAUCGCCUGGAUCGAGCCUUAAUUUCCCAAGGCAACACUGCAUCAUGUCCGUACACCAACUGAUAAGGUGAAACCUUGGUUGAUCCAUGACAAGCCAUCCGAUAGGACCAUAAGGCUUCGUUUAACAAUGUGUGCCACCUUCUAGGAUUUUCUUCAAUCUUCCGUUUAAUAAGCUUAAUAAUUCCUUUGUUAGACGCCUCGGCCUGCCCAUUGUCUUGAGCAUAGUAAGGAGAAGAAUUCAAUACUUUAAUCCCCAUACCGAUUGCGAAUUCAUCGAACUCCCCUGAUGUAAACAUAGUACCCUGAUCGGUAGUGAUUGUUUGAGGAAUUCCAAAUCGGUAAAUGAUAUGCUCCUUCACAAAAUCAAUCAUAUUGGCCGAUGUGACUUUCUUCAAAGGAAUAGCUUCAACCCAUUUAGUGAAAUAAUCGGUGGCAACUAGAAUAAACUUAUGCCCUUUGCUAGAUGGUGGAUAAAUUUGGCCGAUCAAAUCAAUAGCCCAUCCUCAGAACGGCCAUGGCUUUAUAAUAGGAUUCAUAGCCGAUGCAGGUGCUCUUUGAAUGUUACCAAACUUUUGACAUCCUUGACACCCUUUGAAAUAUUUAAAGCAAUCUUCAAGUAUGGUCGGCCAGUAAUAUCCAUUCCUCCUAAUCAUCCAUUUCAUCUUAAAAGCCGACUGAUGUGCCCCACAUUUCGUGGAUUUCUCCCAUCAAACUUCUGGCUUCAUCAUCACCCAAGCAUCGAAGAAGAAUUCCAUCAAUAGUUCGGUAGCACAAUUCAUCUUCGAGGAGCACAUACUUGGUUGCUUGAAACCGAACCCGCCUCUCAACUUUCUUAGAUGGAUCUUUCAAAUAGUCAAUGAUUUCUUUCCUCCAAUCAUCGGCAUCAAUUGCCGAUAUUGCACCAAUCAUAGGCUGAUAUCCCGAGGCAUGCUGAGCCAACCGAUUGGCCUCCUCAUUAUGCAACCGAGGAACAUACUCUAAUCGGAAAUCCUUGAAUUCCUUCAAUAAUUGCAUGCUUCGCUCGUAAUAAGUUAUGAGACCUUCACUUCGGCAUUCAUAGCUUCCAGCCAAUUGAUUUAUAACUAGCAUAGAAUCUCCAAAAACCUCAACAGCAUCCGCAUGAACUCCCCUCAACAACUCUAACCCUUUUAUUAAAGCUUGAUACUCAGCCUGAUUAUUUGUUGACGUGGAAACAAUCGGCAAGGAAAACUCAUACCUCCUCCCUCUAGGGGAAAUUAAUACUAUGCCGAUUCCUGCCCCUCGGUCACAUGUAGAUCCAUCAAAGAACAGCGUCCAAGGUACAAUGUACCACAAUGUUGAGUCACGAAAUCGGCCAUAAUCUGCCUCUUAACGGCUUUAGCCGAUUCAUAACGCAUACCGAAUUCUGACAGUGCCAGAAUCCAUUUACUGAUCCUACCACUCAUAAUCGGCAUGGACAACAUAUAUCGGACUACGUCAUCCAUGCAAACAACGGUGCACUCGGCCGAUAACAAGUAGUGCCUCAACUUGAUACAAGAGAAAUAUAAGCACAAGCAUAGUUUCUCAAUAGCCGAAUACCUGGUCUCAGCAUCAAUCAACCUUCUGCUUAAAUAAUAAAUUACACGCUCCUUCCCUUCAAACUCUUGAAUUAAAGCCGAACCGAUGACCAUCCCAUCGGUAGACAAAUACAAUCUGAAGGGCUUCCCCUGCUGAGGUGGAAUCAGAACUGGAGGAUUCACCAAAUAAUUCUUGAUCUCAUCCAGACCCAACUGUUGUUCCUUCCCCCAAACAAACUCUUGAUCGGCCUUUAGCUUAAGAAGAGGACUGAAAGCACGAAUUUUACUAGACAAAUUAGAUAUAAAUCUUCUGAUAAAAUUUACCUUGCCGAUCAAGGACUGGAGCUCAGUCUUAUUGGUAGGGGCCACUAUCUUAUUGAUAGCAUCGAUAGAUCUUCGACUGAUUUCAAUCCCUCUCUGGUGCACCAUGAAACCAAGAAAUUGUCCUGCCAAUACACCAAAUGCACACUUAUUGGGAUUCAUUUUCAAACCAUGCUUCCUUGUGCAUUCCAACACCUUUCGUAAAUCGGCAAGAUGCUUUGCGAAGUCUUCAGACUUAACCACCACAUCAUCAAUAUAAAUCUCCACCAGCUUGCCGAUGAACUCAUGAAAUAUAAAAUUCAUGGCCCUUUGAUAAGUAGCACCAGCAUUCUUCAAGCCAAAGGUCAUAACUAUCCAUUCAAACAAUCCAACAUGACCAGGGCAUCUGAACGCGGUCUUUGGAAUAUCUUCUUCGGCCAUGAAUAUUUGAUUGUAUCCUGCAUUGCCAUCCAUAAAGCUAAUAAUCCGAUGCCCAGCCGCAGCGUCAACCAGCAAAUCGGCAACUGGCAUUGGAUAUCCAUCCAUCGGUGUAGCUUUAUUAAGAUUCCUGAAAUCAAUGCAGACUCGAAGCGUCCCGUUCUUCUUAUAAACUAGAACAACAUUGGAAAUCCAUUCGGCAUACCGACACUGCCGAAUAAACUUGGCUUCAAUAAGUUUGGUUAUUUCGGCCUUAAAGUCAGGAAGAAUAUUAGGAUUACAUCGGCGAGCUGGCUGCUGAUGUGGCCGAAAUCCAGACUUGAUAGGCAACCGAUGUUCAACAAUUGAUCGGUCCAAACGAGGCAUCUCAUUAUAAUCUCAAGCAAAGCAAUCUUUAUAUUCCCUUAACAAAUCAGUUAACUGUUGCUUACACUCAAGAUCUAACUUAGCACUAAUAAAAGUGGGUCUAGGCUUAUCACCACUACCUAUAUCUACUUCUACUAGAUCAUCGGCCGAUGUGAACCCCUGGCCUAACUUUCCAUCAUCGGCGAACCUAUCCAUUAAAAACCUUCGUCAGAACCGACUGCUUGGAUCGGUGGAAUUUCGUAAUCGGCAACCUUGAGAAAAUCUUUUUCCCAAAUCUCUCCUGAAAUACACCUAGUCCUUUCAUAGGUAUCUGCCUCUGCUGAUGCGAUGACAUAAGAAGAGUCUCCUGGGACUAUCUCAAUCUUGUCACCUACCCACUGGACCAAGCAUUGGUGCAUUGUAGAUGGGAUACAACAAUUAGCAUGAAUCCAAUCUCUUCCCAACAGCAGGUUGUAAGCACCCUUUCCACUGAUCACAAAGAAGGUUGUCGGCAAGGUUUUGCUACCGAUGGUCAAUUCUGCGCAUAUCGCCCCCUUGACUGGAGACACGUUCCCUUCAAAAUCAUUGAGCAUCAUGUCGGUCUUGGUUAAAUCCUGAUCCCCUUUUCCAAGCUUCCAAUACACUGCAUAUGGCAUGAUAUUAAUAGCGGCUCCACCAUCAACUAGAAUCUUGGUCAUUGGCUGACCAUCCACUUUUCCUUUAACAAACAGAGCCUUGAGGUGCUGCCUUUCAUCAUCGGCAGGCUUCACGAAGAUAGCCGUCAUUGGCUCUAGAGCCAACUGAGCUAUUUGGUUGGAAAAAUCCACCUCAUCAUCACUGGAUGGCGCAAGGAACUCCAUCGGCAACAUAAAUACCAUGUUGACAUCUGCCCAUGGACCUCCCCCCUUGGGGUCUGAUUGUUGUUGAUCCCCAGACUGUCCGGAGUUCUCCCCUUUGCUCAACUCUUCUCGCCUUUCGCGCUGCAAUCUUCUCUUCUAAGUCCUGGUCAACCCCUCUAGACACCAUGGAGGAAGCUGUUGCUGCCUUGCCGACGGGCGAUGAUUCUCCCUUGACUCUACCAGAUAAGUAUUGGCAUCCCUGCAAAAUAUGAACUCAUCGGGAACCCGAGCAUUAGCCAUCUCUUCAAGUUCUUCCUCGUUCCUGGGAAAAUACUGAACACGAUCCCCAAGCCUGUCGUGCACGCCGAGCCUACCCCCCCAGCCGAUCGUGAACAGACGCUCUCCCCCUAAUCGGCCCAUUAAAUCGUCGAUCAUCACCACGGUAGCACCGAUCGGACCUGUCAUACCGGUCAUAACCGUUGCACUCAGGACAAUCUCUGAUAGUUGGAAGCUUGAUAUUUUCCUCCCAACAGUGAAUGAAGAACGGGCAAUUCCAGUGAUCCCUAUGCCGGUUCCAUUCUUGUCGGCGUCUUUCCUCUUCCCGAUGAUAAUCCUCUUGCUGGCGCCGGUACCGAUCUUCUCGUUGCUGCCAAGUCUCCCGAGGUCUCCUAUGAGUUAUUACAAUACCAGAUCGGGGAGGUCUUCCUGAGCUGGUUCCUUCCUAGACCAAGCCUCUUCCUCUCGCAUCGGCAGUAGUGACCUAAUGCUGAGGAUCCACCGAUGCACUUUUUUCGGCUGCUUCCGAUGUUAAGACCUUGGCCUUUCCCUUAGCAUCCAACAUGUUCGUUGGGAAAGGAUGUUGAUCGAUCUUCAUCGGCUUCUGGGUCUUGGAACUGUCAAAUUUGAUUCUCCCAGACUCUAUAGCCGAUUGCAGCUGCUGUCUGAAAACCUUGCACUCAUUGGUGUCAUGAGAAGUUGCAUUGUGCCACUUGCAAUAUUUCAUCUUCUUCAACUCUUCGGCCGAUGGGAUCACGUGAUUAGGGGACAGCUUAAUCUGACCUUCCUAAAGUAGAAAGUCAAAUAUCCUACAGGCCUUGGUGGUGUCGAAUGCGAACUUUUCUGGUUCUUUGUGACCAAAAGGGCAAGACAUCGGCUUCUUAUUCUUCACCCACUCUGCCAAGCCGAUGACUGGUUCCUCAUCAGAAUCUGAGCUCGUUGCCUCAUACACGAAUGAUACCUUCUUGUUCCAUGCCCUCUUGGGCUCAAAAGGCUUGAUAUCUUGAUCAGAGAUUCUCUGCACCAGGUGACUUAAGCUUUCAAACUCCUGAGAUGCAUAUUUGUCCCUUAUGUGCGGCAACAAACCCUAGAAAGCCAAAUCGGCUAGCUGCCGAUCAUCCAAAACUAGGUUGUCGCAUUUGUUCUUGACCUUCCGUAUCCUCUACACAAAACUCUCCACCGAUUCAUCAUUGCGUUGCCUUAGUUUGACCAAAUCGGUAAUCUUCUUCUCAUGGACCCCAGAAAAGAAGUAUUUGUGAAAUUGUUUCUCCAGAUCGGCCCAAGUAAUCACUGAGUUGGGAGGCAAUGAUAUAAACCAGGUGAAAGCCGAUCCAGACAAUGAUGAUGAGAAUAAGCGAACCCUCAACUCGUCCCUGUUACCAGCUUCUCCACAUUGGAUGAUGAACCUGUUGACGUGCUCCACAGUUGACGUGUCAUCCUGCCCAGAAAACUUAGUAAAAUCCGGUACCUUGUACCGAUGUGGAAGCGGGAUCAAAUCAUAUGCGAGAGGAUACGGUGUCCGAUAAGAGUAAGUAUUGACUUUGGGUUUUAUCCCAAAUUGGUCUCUCAUCACUUCAGCAAUCUUAUCGGCCCAAUAAGCAUCGGCAUCUUGCCGAUGGGGCGGUUGCGGAUCAGGCACCUGCUGGUAAGCUUCCACGUGUCGGUGUGGCGCACGAUCUGCAUGAAACAUCGGGUUAAUCAUCUGACCCCCAAUCUGUGGACCACCAAGCUGCUGCCGCCAGUCUGUUGUACGCCGACCUGCUGCCCAAGAUUCAUUGGCUGGUUCGGAAUCCCCUGAUUCUGGAAUCCAGGAUAGAUCUGGCCUUGUUGGAACCCUGUAGCCUGAUGAUUCUGUUGGGGUGUUUGUGGAAAGACUUGCUGCCCAAGCCAUCCAUUAUUAGCGUUCAUCGGCACAGGCCCUGCCGAUGACUGGUAAUUGGGCAUUAUCAUUGAACUGACAUACCCUGGUUGGAUCAUAGACCUCUGUUGCAUCAGCAUUGAGUCUGCCGAUGCGUUAGGCAUCUGGAACGUUGGAGCUUGAGAAUUCCUAGUAUAAGGUCUUGCGGUAGUAGUUGUGGUAUACUGAGGACUCUGAUUCAUCGGCAUGUUUGGGGGUGCCGAUGUCAUAUGAGCCUUGCCCCUCACAUCGGUCGUCUGCGACGUACCCGGUGUUAACUCUGGAGGCAUGCCAUAACCCCACCAGUUAGGAGGAGGAGUCAAUCCUGACAUUGCCGAUGCCAACAGAUCUGUAGCAAGUUUAAUCUAUCCAUCUAAAGUUUGUGGAUUGGUUGUCAUCGGCGUAGAUUGUGCAUUAGUGACUCCCACCGUGCUUGGCGGAACAGGAAUUUCCAUGCCCGCAGCGGCCGUAGCGGCCGAUGGAGCUGUGACCCCUGGUGACGUUGGUUGGUGAUAAGUGGGGCCCACAUAAUCUGGUGGCAGCUGUCCUUCUUUGAAAGUUCUUGCCAUGACAUUGAAAACCGUGUUAGACAGUACACCAGCUUGGUUGAUCAAAGCACGGUUGAUAGCGCUGUCAACCAUCUCUUGAAGCUUGCCAGGAUUGGCUUCAAAAGUAACCUGCCGCGGUGCCGGCAGUGCAUCCUUCUGGAUCACCUCGCCACUCCUGUUCAUGCUGAAGGACCGUAGGCAUUGCUCCUUGUAAUCCUCCAUGGCCUUAGCAAUAGCUUGCUUCUGCUCAUCCUUGAGAUUGGCUUCCGUUACAGGGAUGAUGUUUUCUUGAUCAAACUCGGAAGUCGACAUGUUGAUCUUGAUCUUGAAUCUGGUCCCACCGGGCGUGCCAAAAGAUGUGUUGGUGCAAAAGCUGAUAUGCAAACACAAAGGGCUAAUACCCGAUUUAAACGUUAAGGCGUGCCAGCCGAUUUGACCUUACUAUCGGCAAAGGUGGUAACUCGAAUACUUUGGUCCUGACAACAGCGAUGCGCCCAGAUGCCACGGCCAAGAGGUAUUCACGCAGAACUUGAGAACACGCCAAGCUUAAGUCGACGAAUUCCUAAGAACUCGUAAUAAAAGGAAAAAGGUAUGACGAAGUCGUCGAAAAAGUAGAUGCUUAUAAUAUAAAUAAAAAACGUGUGUUUGAUUGAUUGAUAUCUGUCUCAUUACAAAGCCGUACGGUUUAUAUUUAUACCCUGCUCAAAGAGCUACAACCAGACACGACUAGAACUCGAAUUCCAAAUUACACAGAAUCCAUAUACAAAACGAUUUGAAUAACUAAGGAAAACAUAAAACUAUCCCCCCGUGACAAACUGAAACACCUCCACAAGCCGAUCGGCAGCUUCCAGACUCUUCCUCCAUAUUAUCGGCAGAUUCCCUCGUCGUAGCCAUCGGCACAGACACAUCACCACCUAUGGACUUAGUCAUGUUCAACAGCCCCUCCAUCGGCAACUCAUCCUACAGAUCAAGCAACACCAUUUCAUCUUGCCGAUCCACACUUUAUCGAUCAUGGACACGUACCCAAAAACGGUGUCAACAGUGUCUUUUAUGUUUUACUAGACAGGUAAGUCUAGCUGAGUACAUUCUCGUACUCAAGGUUUAUUUCCCACCUGUUGCAGAUGACAUCUUUUAUGACGGCUUCAGCAAGACCUGUCUCCAUCCCGCUGGGGAUGAGGACUAACCAUUGCGCACGGUUCUCUAACAACCUCGUACCUGUUGCUUUUGGAAGGAUGGUGUAUACUCUGGCAGUAACUUGAACUUAUGAACUGGACUUUGGAAAGUGCGUGUGUAACUAUUUUGCUUCCGCUACUUCGAACAAGUGUUGUAAUAACUUAAUACUCCGAUGUGGUGCCGCUUCGACGGCAAUGAAUGACUAUGUAACAUUCACUAUGUUUAUGUUGAACUAUUACGAUCUUGGUUUGUUACAAGUUGGUUUGAAAUCCUUCGUGGUUUCAGUUGACUACCGGGAUUAUAUGGGCUCAAGUUUGGAAACUUGAUUGCUUGUCGAUCGUUUCUACACUUGAACUCUUAUAAUUUGGUCGGUUCCGUGACAUUAAUGAGGUUGGUACAUGCCAAGUGAUGGAGCAAGUGAUGAUCAUGGUGAUGAUGGUGAUGACCACAAGGUGAUCAAGUGCUCAACUUGGAAAAGAAGAAAGAGAAAAACAAAACCCUAUGGAGAUCAAGGCAAAGGUAUUGCUUAGGGUUUUGGUUUUGGUGAUCAAGACACCAUAGAGGGUGUGAUCACAUUUAGGAUAGAUAGCCGUACUAUAAAGAGGGGAAUUCUUUGGCUAAGCGGUUAUCGAGUGCCACUAGGUGUCAUUGUUCAUGUGCAUGCAUUUAGAACCUAGUGAGCUAACUUAACUUCUUCAAAGAAAAUGAUUGUGAAAACACUAACACACGUGCACUUGUUGGUACACACUUCGUGGUGUUGGCACACUUUGAGAAGGAGGUGGAGUUUGAAGGGUUGAGAGAGGAUGGGUUCCUCUCUCCCUCUUGCCGAGCUUGCGAGGCAGGAUUCGGCGCUUUUCGAGAAAAUGAAGUGCAUAUUUUCUAUUGUGCUGGUGGGAAAAUUGGAGAAGUCGUGGGAGUGUUUCUCGCUGAGGAACACUCACCGGACGCUGAUUCAGAAGCACCGGACGCUGUUCCUGUGCGUCCGGUGAGUAGGCAGCCUGACUCGGUUAGGGUUAGGCACCGGACGAUAGGCACCGGACGCAGCUUGGAGCAUCCGGUGGUUAGCAUCCAGUGUGCGGGCGUUUUGCGACCCUUUCUGCGCAUGGGUCCGGUGAGCACCGGACGCUACCGGUGCUUAGCAUCCGGUGACCCGCACGUUUGCGGAACUCUCUGCGCAUGAGUCCGAUGUGCACCGGACGCGUCCGGUGCCAACUUGCUCAGCGUCCGGUGCUCUGCAGGUUACCGUUAGACUCUGACACACGGCUGACUUUGGAGCACCGGACGCAAGUGUUGAGCGUCCGGUGCCCCUUUAAAAGCGUCCGGUGACCCCGUGUGUUGCCCAGUGAAAGAGCCAACGGCUCUAUUUGUUUGAGGGGAUAUAAAUAUGUGUUUGGCCGGCUUAGGGCUCACCCUCUGGACAUUCUAACAUACUUGACAUCCUUGUGAGCCUAAGCAAACACCUCCCACUCAUCUCCUUCAUAGAUUAUACAUCUUUGUGUGAUUGAGAGUGAUUCCAAGUGCAUUUGCUUGAGUGAUUGCAUCUAGUGGUACUUGGGGAUCGUUCUAGCUGCGGUUUUCUUGUUACUCUUGGUGGUUGCCGCCACCUAGACGGCUUGGAGCGGCGGAGGAGGAUUGGCACGAGAUGGUGAUUGUUCGUUGCCAUCUCCCGGUGAUUGUGAGGGGUCUUGUACCUUCCCCGGCGGAGAGCCGAAAGGUAACUCUAGUGGAUUACUCGUGUCACUGAGUUACCUCACUGGUGGGUAGGUUCUUGUGGUGUCCUAGUGAGGACGAGGUUCGUGCUACACCUCUUAGCCACCGAACCACCAAGUGUUGCUCGACACAAUGGGGACGUAGCGUGCCGGCAAGCACGUGAACCUCGAGAGAAAAUCGUGUGUCUCCAUUGUGAUUGUACUUUGGAUUUCUCCCAGUGAUUGGACUUCAUAUUAUUGAUUGAUUCAUCCCCUCUACGCGGUGGUAUAAAGAUCAAACAUUCUCUCUUACUUUCUUGGAAACUAGAGUAGCUUACUUACUUGUAUAGAAACUUUAGGUAGUUCUCUAGUGUAAAUAGUGUCAUAGCUCUUGUGUGCCUAGUGAUCUUAACAACUAGAAUUGUUGGAUAGGUGGCUUGCAAACACCCCUUUAGAGCUAGAUCAAAAAGCUUCGCUUUGUUAUUUACUAACCUCUUGCUCUAGUGAGUUUGUAGAAUUUUAAAUAGGCUAUUCACCCCCCCUCUAGCCAUAUUAGGACCUUUCAGCCCGCCCUCCCCCCUUGGGCGCCCGCCCUGGCCUCGGGGCCAAUCACAAUCAACUUCGCGGAUUAUGCUCCACCAACCUAAAGGAUCAAGGAAAACCGUGCGAUCAAUGUCGGUUUGAUCUGACAGCCCAAAUUCACUUGAAAGGACUAUAUAAUCAAGGCCUGUCCACCCCAGGGGGAAGAGGAGAAAUCAUUAUCUGAGGUAGCCAUCAAAGUUAGGGUUUAGAACUUCUCUCCCACAGAGAAUUAGAAUUAGCUACUCCCUAAUCCUUCAAGUUUAGAGGAUUGAUUAGAUAGAAUUAGAGAAGUAGAGCCUAGUGCUCUGGAUUCGGAUCUUCAUCAAUAAAGAUUGGUAUUAUUUCAUAUCUUUCUCUACUGCUUUAUUCUAAUUGCAUUAUGUCUCUAUUUAUUAUGCUCUUAGUUUGCUCUAGUUCUAUAUUUGAUAUAGUUAUGAUUGAUAAUGAGUUUAUGUAUAAAUUUGCAAAGCGCUUAGCUCUUAACACGUGGGAGUUAAGUGGUAGAUCACAUGUAGGCGUGGUGCUUAGAUGUUAUUUACCUGCAAAUGUAUCCUAUUGGCCGGGUCGUGUGGUAGUUCGCGAUAGUGACAGCUUUGUUGAUUCUUAUAUAGUCCACCCUCCGUUGAUAGGACAGGCAGAAUUUGUAUUGUGGAGUAAGUCUUGCGAUGCUCUGAUUUACUUUAACAAUGUUCCUUAUACAUGAAUGAAGAGUCUUUUAUGCUAUAUAUGAUCUUGUAGAUAACUAGAGUAGAUUGUGACUUAGUAGAUAGUAGAUGACUUAGAAUCCAUUCUCUAGCUAAUCCGACGUCACCUUACAUAUAUGAGUAGUCUAUUUUCUAAUCGCUGUGUUAUUUACCCAUGCGCUUAUAUUUCAUUAUCAUUAUUAUGGCUUACCCCCCUACAAAAAUAAGUGACUGUGUGACGAGCUUCUCAUUAGUAAUCAUGUUCUUGCAAGUUUAUCUCUAGUCUAUGCCUUGAUAGAUUUUAUCUUUAUUCCCUUUGUUUUCUUAAGCAAAAUUAUAAAUAACGAUACCUAGAAUACUUUUCCUGGUGAAAUGCUACAAUGAGGUAUUUUAUCUGUGCGCUUGCGGAUAGAAUAGAUUAUUUUCUAGAGAGCCUUUACAUUCAUAAAUACCUUUGUACACUCUGGCACCAUGUUGGGGAUGACAACCUAGUAUUCAAGUGGUGUUAGUAAGUGUCAACAACAAUCACGACAAAAGAGUUAUGCCGACAAGAGAAGAAGGCCACUUGAGUUUAAAGUGGGUGACUAUAUUUACCUCAAAGUUACGCCAAUGAAGAAAGUUAGCGUUUUUGAGUUUGAAGCAAGCUUGCACCUAGAUACGUGGGGCCGUAUCAGAUACUAGAAUGGAAGGGCCCUGUGGCCUACAAGAUUCAGUUACCUGAGGAGUUGAAAGUACCGUGUGUCACAGCUACAAAAAUGUUUGAAAGUACCUGAGCAAAGGAUCGAACCUCGAGGAAUCAAGAUAAAGGUAGAUUUGGAAUAUAAGGAGCAACCAGUGAGUAUCGUAGAUACCAAGGAGCGGGUAACCUGGAAUAGAGUUGUCAAAAUAUAUAAGGUGGUGUGGAGUCAUCACAAUGAUAGAGAUGCCACCUGGGGAACCGAGGAUUACCUAAAAACAGUUUACCCAAAGUUUCAUAAGAAAUGGUUACUAACCCAAAAUCUCGGGACAAGAUUUCCCUAAGGGGGGAAGGGCUGUAACACCCUAGGUGUUAAGCAUGCACUUAGUCUCAUAAACUCUCUCAUAAGCAUUCUCAUCAAGCAUGGCAUAAGCAUAACAUCACAUGAGCAUAGAAGUAAUUCAAGUAUGAUUUCAUGUGCUUGAUUUACAUGACUUAAAUAUGAUAAAAAUAGUAUGCUUGCUUCCAAAUUUCUUGAAAUGACCAAAAUAGAUUGAAAUAUGUUUUAGAAGAAUUAAGAAUAAUUUUGUGAAAUUUUUGGAGCUAUAGAAUUUGAGAAAUGGAUUUUAUACAAAAAGCCCCAAAAUGAAUUUAUUCAAAACCUAGAACUAGUUUUGAGUGGUAUUUCAAAUUCUAUUGGGAAUUUGGAAUUUCAGCUUGAAACAAAGUUGUAGAACUUUUUAUUUAGAACAACUUUUGUUUUGGGGGCCAGAGCUGAAAAAGGAUUUAAAUUUGUCAAAAUGAGUUUGGAAAAUUAUUAGAGAAAAGAAAUUCAAAAAAAAAGAGGAAAUGGGGGUUGGCGCUGCUGGGCCAACCCGCCUCCCUUUCGGCCCAUCCAGCCGCGCGGCCCAGCCUCCCCUCCCCUCUCCCGCGCGCGGACGCACCUGCCUUGCUCCACCCGGCGCCGGCCACGUGGCGGCCGUACGCCGGCGUCGUGGACACGCCGCUCGGCCGACCGCCUUAUCCCGGUCGGGACGCCACCCCGCGCCCCUAGGCGCGCCAUUCUGUCCCCCCCCGCUCCCUCUCCUUCUCCGCCCGCGAGCGUAGCAGCAGCAGCAACCGCCACGGCGCCAUUGCCGGCCGAUCUCCGCCGCUCGCCACAGGCCGCGUUAGUGGCCCGUUCUCUGCGCCAAGACCACCGCCGUGUUCGCCUUCGCCGCGGUAAGCCCCUACGCGCGCUCUACCAAGGUGAAAACCCUCCGUGAGCCCGCAAUCUCUCGCUGGAGCUCGCCCGACCUCGUCGGAGUGCUCCGCCGCGUCGAAGCCUUCCCAUUUCUACCCCGUUUCGCUUGUUCUUGAGCGCGUUAGGUUCGGAGCGUGGCGAGAAAGCUUAGACGGUACCCCGCACUCGCUCUACUCCGCCGGAGUGGCCUAGCCACGGCGAGCAGCGCCGCCGUGCCGCCAUGCACGCCAGCAGGGGUGCUCCGGUCGUCCUCCGGCCAAACCUAGGGCACCCUCGGGUGCGACUCGCUGCGGGGAACACGUUGGUGCUCACCCCGUGGCCGGAGACCUCACCGCCGACGAGAUCCGCUCGUCGGAGGUGCUCUCCCUCUCGGUCAUGCUGACUAGUGGGGUCGGGGGCCCACUGUCAGCCGCAGGGGGACCGAGGCGGGUAGAGAUCCGGGUGUUCCUAGCGUUUUUCAUUCCGGAUUUGAAAUGGUUUUUCAAAAAAUGUUUUCCAGAAAAUGUUUUAAAUUGUAUUAAAUCUAUAUCUUGAGAUCCAUGGCUCCAAAAUUGGUGAAAUAAAUUUUGAUGUGCUCUAUAAUUCCAGAUCUAUAGUUUGCAGUGGUUGCAUGUCAUAUUUGAACAACUUUUCUGUACAAAUAUAUUUAAUACAUGUUUUUGCUGAAAAUUGGAAAAUGCAUAGUAAUUAAAAUAUAACUCAGAAAAAUAUGAGACUUGUUUUUUUUGGAUCUGAAUGGAUGAUUAGUCUUUGGGAAAAAUAUGUCAGAUAUUAAUUGUUGCAUAAAUUAAUUUAUGAUGAUUUAAAUGCUUGCAUGGCAGUGGUUUAUGAUUUUUAAGAAAUAAUUGGAUCAUGCAAUUAAUCUGGAAAUUUUUGUGGGAGUUUCUUAUGUUAACAAGUAAUUUAUAAAAAUAUGAAAUCUGUUGUUUGACACUUAGGCAACAGUAGGGUAUUUAUACUUAAUUAUAUUGAGUAAUCUCGUAAUUUUUGUAGGACAAACUAAGUGUCCAAAUAUUAUGAAAAAUUUAUGGUAGACUUUAUGGUUGACCAGUGAUCUACUGUAAUUUUUAUGGAAUUUAUUGAUAAACAGAAAUAUAUGCUACUGUUGUAGGUCCAAUAAUAAUUAAAAUAAAUUAUUAAUUGUUAUGCAUAAAUUAAAUGGAAUGAAGGGGCGUUUGGUGUAUCUUUGAAGCAUCAUGUUAGUUUGCUGGUUAACCAUGAAAGCAACUUGUAGAAGAGAAUGCAAUAGAUGCUUAAUUUGAGUACAAGUUCUUGGAUGAUGUUGACUACCUUGUAGAAAUAACCACCUAUGUAAUCUAUGCACCAUGUCAUGAUCAUCUGGUACCCACUUGCAUAAGCAUUGCACCCCGGGCAUCUCGCACUCCACUCAUGAGCACACAUGCAUCAUACAGGGUCACAGGAGAACGAAGUGGAACUCGAGGAACAGGAGGAAACCUCGGAGUAGGAACUUCAAGGAGGACUAGAGCUGGGAGAAGAGCUACAGGAGUGCCCGGACCACAAGCCGAGCACGUUUGAGAAAGGCAAGCCCAAGAGCAUUCUAAGUCUCCCUAUUCUCGCUAACUUAAUUAGUAUAUCAUGCUUGUUCUACUAUGUUGCAUUUAAGUGAUAGGAAUUGCUUGAUACCGUUGAUGCAUACUUGCUCCUUGAUAUCACCACUUGUUUAUCUACCUUGUCCUAUGUAGAUAGGCUCGGAGUCUAUGCUUAGCUUGCUUAGUACGGUAGAAGUCGGGUGAUUUCCUGUCACCUGCGAGAUAUAGGUGGACACCUGUUUGAUUAGCUGUUAAUGCUAUGAGAAAAAGUAACCAAGUGUGGGAUUGAACUUGAGACCGGGCAGGGUCUUAUGGUAGGGUUGACCGUAGUGCCCCUGCCCGUGUCAAUUAAGGACCGAUCGUUGACGGCCCUCUUGUCAUGUUGAACGCAUGCCCCAUACUUAGCUGGAAGGAUAAGUCGUUCCUACCGCGAAGCCUGAGCACUAUCCGGGCCGGGAACCGGCCCGAUGUACGCGAUGUAUUGGUGAUGGUUGAGGAGAACGACGAGGGUGCGGCGCGCAACCUUGGUAUACCUUGGAUACCUCGGUCGCCGGAACUGUCCUCGGGUACGGGCGGUGCCUGUCGAACCCGCGAAUUGGUCCUGGAUAGUGCAAUACGGUGAUCUGUAGCUCACUUGAUCAGUGAGUGUGGUUUGUGUGGGAAAUAACUCGCCAGCUGGUCAGAAAUCGAUUCGAAUCGCCAUCGCUCCUGGAUAGUGAGCACUUGACAUGAGCCCUGUCCUCGUAGUAAGGACUAUGGAACACUUGGGUUAUGAUGAAAAAUGAUUUAUGAAUGCUAUGAUGAGGUACCAUCAUAUCACCACACUUGUUUGAAAUAGUACAGGUGCAAAUCUAGCUGAUAGGUAAUAAUACCUAACCUGAGCUAAUUAAAGAAAAGAGGGUUUUAUCAGGAUGUAUUCUAGUGGAUAGUGCUUUUAUGCAAAAGGUCUCAGUUACCCCCACCAUACAGCCUUCAUGAUCCUUGAAGAGUCUUUAUUUUUGGUUUCUGACGGGUAAGUCUAGCUAAGUACAUUCUCGUACUCAGGGUUCUAUUCCCAUGUUCAUUUGCAGAUGGGCAGAUGUACUAUGGUUAUUGCAUUCUCUGCUUGUACCAAGCAAUGGGUGAUGACUAGACCAAGGGCGAUGGUCACUCUACCUCCUCUUUUGCUUUUGUGGAAAUGACCGAACUACGGCACUGUAUCAGACUAAAUGUGUGUGUUAUUUUCAAACUAUGAAGCUUCCGCUACUUGAGAACCUGGUUUGUAAUAACUUUAAGUAACUCCGAUGUGUGUGAUGAAUGAUGCGGACUGGAUGUAAUUGUGAAUGGUAACCGCUGAACUUAUUACGAUCUUGGCUAUAUGUACGAUUUGUGCUUUGAAAUCCUUCGAGAUUUCACAGACUACCGGGAUUAUAUGGGCUUAAGCUCGAUGGUUCGACUGUGCAAAUGGUCACCAUUAGGCUUAAUCUCUUAUAAUUUGGGCGGUUCUGUUACAGAAACAUCCUUUGCCAUGCUGCUAUGUUGGUUAUCCCUACCUUUGGGGCAUGCUCAAUUCGUUAAAUACUAAUCACACUACUUCAUCUCCACUUGAGUAGAUCUCUAUAAAUGCUCUCAUGCUACCUUUAUUUGCUUUAGUAUAUGUCUAGGUUUGGAGUAGUUUCAUUUCUCUCUUAAUUAAGCAUGGUGCUUAGUUUAGGAAUGAUGAUCUUACUUCCGAGGGAUUUUAAAUUAAGCAUGGUGCUUAGGUUAAAAUGCCCUCCUAAAUCAAAUUAGACAUGGUGUCUAGGUUGAUUUUUGAGCUGAUAGCAUGCUAUAGUAGAUAUUAGAUAUUUUGUUGGACUAACCCCUGCAGGAAAAAUUUUCAAUAUCGACCUGGGAAGUCCUGAGAUAAACUCACAUUGGAGACAAAGAGAGAGACACAUAAAGUUCAACAAUUUACAUAAGGAAGACAUAGCUCACAAGAGGUGAUCCAUGGAGGGUGCCACAAACACGAUGCACAACCGCUAAGAAAGGAAAGCUUCCACAAGGUGAUACUGUACCAUCACUCUUCAAGUAAGGUAACAUCUUAAGGUACUUGACUAUCACUUUUAUAAGCUUCUCCUUGGUUCUGGCGUUCACAUGAAUAAAAGAGACAAACAUGUAUGAUUUACAACUCUAUAUUAACCAACCCAAUCGAUUCAAUAUGUUUAGUCCUUCCACCAUUGUGAUCCCACACUCCUAAUCAUAUGAGCUAAAAUGAUGCACACUCAAUCUUUGGAAGAUAUAUAAAAAAAUAACAUAAAUAUAGAUAGAUUAUCUUUCCAUUAGGUUGAGCGAUCUGAUCUGACAAAUGUUUUAAAUGCUACACUCAUGAUCUUAUUAUCCAUCAACUUUGUCUUGCUCACUAUGCUUAAGGUUAGAGAAGAACAAAUACACUUUUGGUUCUGUUGGUGUUUUCCACCAACAGGGCCCAUGCACUUGAUCUCUGCCUUGUCUCUAUGAGCAGGUACACUUCGAGCAAAAUAUGAAGGAGUUUUACAACUCCCAUAAUCCACCAAGUGAAGAACCUAGAUCUACGAGCACAAACACACUGGAGAUACUGGACAAUCAGGCAAUCACGGCCCUGAGAUGCUUGAGGACGUAAACUACAUCAACAACAACAACAACAACAACUACUACUACUACUACAACCGUCCUCAACAAAAUCAAGGUUGGAAUGAACAGAGGCCUAACUACUCAGGUAAUUAUCUAGGUAAUAAUUCUUACAAUAAUAAUAAUAAUAAUUUUCUACCUCUGAGAGAGUUAGUGUCUAAUCAAGGAAACCUAAUGGAUAACCUAUCUAAGAAAUUGGCAUCUAAUGAUAAAAUGUUAGAAAAUAUAAAGAAUGGACAAUUUCUCUACUGCCAUCAAGAAUCAAAUUAGCUUUAAUAAAAUGAUUGAAUCUCAGUUAAAUCAAAUAGCUACUGCUGUUCCUGCUACUAACCCCGGUAUACCAUCACAACCGGAAGGAUUAGAAUCUGCAAAUCUUAUAGACAUGUUUGAUGUACGUAACUACUGGAGUAGCCCCAUUGUGGAAGUAAUUACUGACCUUCUGCCGGUCAAGAGAGGCGAUCUAGGAUGCCCCGUCAUCCCGAUCUCCAUCGGCAUGGUGGACUUCCCAGAAGCACUCUGCGACUUUGGCUCCAGUGUCAACAUUAUGCCCAGGGUACUCUAUGAAAAAUUCUUUACACAUCCUUUAGUAGAAACAACAAUGUGUUUGUAGCUUGCAGAUCGGACACUAAGUUUCUCAAAGGGAAUAUUGAAGAACCUCUGCGUCCGAGUUGGUACCUUGUACGCCCUAGGAGACUUCGUGGUGAUAGAGACUGGUACUGAUGAGAGGGCACCCAUCAUCCUAGGGAGGCCAUUCCUGAAUACCUCGGGAGCUGUCAUCUAUGCUAGUGCUGCCAAGAUCAGUUUCUACAUCAUGGGGAGGAAGGAGACGUUUUCCUUCAAGAACAAGACUACACAAAUUUCAGAGCAAUCCCGACAUGAACCAAGGAAGAGGACCAACAGGAGGAACAAGAACAAGAAAAUGUGGACCGAGUCAGCUAAGAUGGUCACUGCAGUUCAAGAGGUCAAGAUCGUCGACUUAAGUCACCGUUUUUGACCAAAAAGGACGACCCAGGUAUGCCAAGCAUCCAGUGCUCCAUUAAUGGAUACAACUUCCAGAAGACGCUUUGUGACACCAGGUCAGGCGUUAACAUAAUGGCCGCAGCCACCUAUCAGCUCCUGUUCGGAACCAUGCCCCUAAAACCGACAUACCUUCAGCUCCAGAUGGCAGAUCAGACAUUCGGAAAGGUUGAAGGUAUUGUAACUGAUGUCCCUGUCAAAAUAGACGAUCCACCAAUCAUCCUUGAGAGACCGUUCCUCAGCACCGUUAAAGCAAUCAUCUACAUUGGAACCGGAGAAGUCCACAUGAACUUCCCCUCUGAGAAGGUACACCGCUAUUUUACUGACCCUAACUAUAUAGUUGAAGACUCUAAGCAGGACAGGACAAGAAGAAGACGACGUAAUCGCAACCAGAGGAGGCGUCGCUGGAACCACCGACUACGCCAUCCAGCGAAUCCCAGGACGACUAAGAAAAUAGAGAGUCCCGUUCGGAGGACUUAAAAACACAGAACGCCUUGCCAAGAGGUAAACUUGGUAGUUAUCCUUUUCCCUUCAAUUAUUUAAAAUAGUUUGCUUAGUUAAUCAGGUUCAUAUCAUAUCGAAAAGAAAAUAAAAAUGUUAAAAAUAGUAUGCCCCAUGUGAAUAUGCUCAUGGCAUAAAACCCAUAAGUACAUUCACUGUGGCGGCGUAAAUUUAAAAUAAAUAUAUUCCUGUCCUAUAAAAAUAAAAAUAAAAAAAAUUAUGAUCCUACUAAAGAGAGUAACAUUUAUUGAGGAGGCUCAACAUGAUAAAGACUAGAUAUUUAUGCUAACACUUAACUAGUUCCACAAAGCAUUGUUGUCUAUUUGAGCUCCACAGAAUUCAAGGAUCAAAGAAGACUAGUAGACGGAGGACAUCCUAAUUGCUGUCAGGGUGCUGCCAACAUUCAAAUACACCUCCACCACCUGCUAGCUACAUCAGAAUAAAUUACGUCAAAAUCAAACUUGGGGGAGAGCACUCCCAUUUAUCCAGGUAAUUGUUCUACUCACGUUUAUACUUUACUCAAAUAUAAAAAGAUGCAUAAUCAUAAAAAUCCAAAUAAAGAUUUUGUGCUUAUAUAUAUCUUUGCUUAGUUUGCUAAAUAAAUAAAUAAAUAAAGUUUGCUAUGAACCCUCAUGAUAAGCUCUCACAUGGAAAUGAUGGAUAGUUGCUUUGCCAUGACUAGUUCUCAAAAUUGAAAUCUCUCUCAAGUUUAGGCAUCACUAUUAUGAAUUAAGAUUUGCUCUAAACCUAAACUUGUGCGAAGAGUACUUGAUCUAAAGUCUAAGUCGUUAACGGAUACGACAUGGGAAGAUUGAGCUACUGUUUAUCUAUUCCUAGAGAUGCUAGAAUUCUGGAGAAUUUUAUCUUUAAAAAUCUUUAAAAUGAUGCAUGCUGAGUUCUUGUAUGAUGAGAGUUUAAAGUCCUACCACAGCCAUAUAUACAUGCUUACACUACUAGAUUCGCCCAGAAUUUCAACGCGCCUAAACUAUGGCAAAAGCGCCACAAACGUUGUAAUAACCGGAAUGGCAACGCGCGAAAAACGUUGUGGGGUGUUGCAAGACAAACUGUGGCAAGAGGCUAUCGCAACGCUUUUCUGGUUAGUGUUGCAAAUGCAGUAGUUAUAUCGCAACACUUGUGGCAUUGUAAUCUGUGUUGUUGCUACAUUUUUUGGUGUGGUAACAGCAGCUAAAACAAUGCUUGAGGUGUUGCUAGAACAUGUAAUUGCAACAUGGCCAUGUCGUAGCAACUGGUGCAAUAGCAACGAUUAGUGCGGGUUGCAAAACAAUUUAUUGCCACACUCGGCAUUUCGUUGUUAUACUUAACUUUGGUAUUGCUACGUAGAACUGGUAUGGCAAGUCAGGUUUUAUCACAACACCAUGAAAUGGUGGCAACAUGUUGAUUUGCCACGCUCUAGAUUUCGUCGCUAUAAGUGAGUUUGUUAUUGCUACGUAGAUAUGGUGUGGCAAGUCAAGUUGUAUAACAACACCAACAAAUGGUUGCAACAUGUUGAUUUGCCACGCUCUGGAUUUCGUUGCAAUAACUGUCUUCAUAAUUGCUACACAUAAAAUUGGCAGCUACAUGGGCAUAUGCUAUUACUACGAUUAGUAUGCGUUGCUAUAGUAUGUGUGUUUCCUCAUUAAAUCUGGUUGCAAAUACUCAAUUUAACAAUGUUGUUUGAUUGGUAGCACCAAGAAUUAUUCUUGCACCAUUUAAUAAUGCAGAAAACAAUAUUAAAAAUAGGUAGAUCAUGAGAUUACAGCCACUUAAUGACAAAAACAACCAUUCAUUAAAUACACAACCCAAUGUAAAGUAUGUAGUAUCACAAAGAUAAAUGCUCUCCUCAAGACUUUCGAAGAUAACAAAACAAAGUUUAAAUUUGCUUCAUUCAUGACAUCUCAAACUUGAAGCACCACAUUGUCUAUCAGCUUCCUACUAGAAGUGGUAGAACACUAUUGGGUAUUCUUAACAUCAUUAUUAAAAGUAGACUAAGUUCUAAAUCUAGCAACGGUGCCAAAAAUGCCAAACCUAUCCCUCACACCACUUAAGCCAAGUUGUCAUCCCCAGCAUGACAUGAGAGAUGCGGUAUUGAAAUAUGCAAUUGCUCUUCUAAAUAAAUAAUGAAUGGGAUCUGCAAGCGCACAGAUUAAUACCGAUGUAGCAUUUUAACCGGGAAGUAUUCCAGGUAUCGUUAUUUAUAUUUUUACCACUGGGAAGGGAUUAGCAAUCAUCACUAUUGAUUAUAGAAUAGAAUAUGAGAUUGAGCAUCUAUCAUUGCAUGUAUAAUUGAGAACAUUAUAUCUAACUCUUCAUACAGGGAUAAGUGUCACAUAAAAGAUAUAUGAAAUAAUAAUAGUGACAAGGAUAAUUAGUCUGAUCUAGCCACAUAAUAAAUAUGAUAAGCACCUCAAUUAGAUACUCUAGAAAGUCAUUAGCAUGGUAUUAGAACGAACUACAAGAAUAUUCCCUAAGUUAUUCUUAACUAUAUAGUGUAGCAUUAUCAUAAUUAGUGCAAGCAUACUUAGCAAUCAUUGCGAGACAAGACUACGCCCAUGCAUAGUGAUAUUAGCAAGGAAUAUGAGAAACAUAGCAAUCACUCCCCUGUAAUAAUGUUGCUCUGCCAGCCCAAUACACGAGAGGGGGACUAUAUAAGAAUCAAUGAAGCUGUCACUAUCACGAACCACCCCUCGAUCUGGCAUAUUGGGUACAAUCGCAGAUAAAUACGGUAUAAGCACCACGCCUACACAAUAUCUAUCAUUUACCCAUGGAUCCGAUGGAUAAACGCUAUACGAUCCUAAGCAUGUAUAUAGAUCGUAUCUAACUAAGCCAAGUACAUAACUAUGAUAAACUAAGAACAAUAUAAUCUUGAAUAUAAACAAGUAGAGCAAAGUCAUAAGCAAUAUAUUGAAGUAUAACAAAGUCAUAUUCAUAAUAUUGAAGAACAAAGAUAAUUAGAAAGUAAUUAGAAGCACAAUUAGAGAAUUAUCAAGAAUCCUCCUGACAGAUCCGGAAACCAAUCGAAGAUUGACUCCUUCUAGUUCUAAUCCUAUGUAGUUAUGCUAAUCUAGAUGUCUAAUUGAUGUGGUGGCUCUAAUCUUGAUCAGAGGCUUCUUCUCCCUUGAUGGAACAAUGAAUUAGGGUUGAGAGGCUCUCUCCUCCAGGGGCCAGGGGGUCUGGUUUUAUAGUCCCUCCAAGUGAAUAUGGGCCCUUGGAUCAAACCGACAUAGACUGUAUGGUUUAGAUUCAUCCUUUAAGUCGGUGGAGAUCUCCCGCAAAGCAGAGUCCUGAUUGGACUCCUGGAGGGGGCGGGCGCCCAGUAGGACAGGGCGGGCGCCCUGUCUCUGGCCCCGUUUCGCCUCCGCUUCGGUCUUGUGGCUUCUGGAGUCUUCUAGAUGUAAGAUAAUUGCGCAGCACGUUAAUAUCUUUACGUAAUCCCGACAUGUGGGCCUUUCUUCCAUAUUUCCUGAUAACCCCCUGCAGAAAUAGACAAACACCAAAACUCGUGGAAUUCUGUCAGAUAAAACCCUAAGUCUGGAUCUUGAUUUUAUUUAGAUCCUUUUCUUUAUUUAUUUGAUAAUUAAAUUUGAUACUUAAGGACCGUCAACAAACUCCCCCAAGCUUACCUCUUGCUCGUCCCUGAGCAAGGAUAGACUUAGCUAUGGAUCAUAAGUUGUUGCAAUAUCUUUUAAAAAUUUGAUGGUACACAUGCUUUUUAAAUAAGAUCUCAUCUCUAAGUUAGAGUAAACUGUCAAGAUUUAAAACUUACUUACUUUACCUUCACCAUGGGACUUGUAACUGUCACUUCUGUCUUGAGUGGUUAAAAGAUAGAACAGUCUAGCCAAGUGCCAUGUCUCUUAUUCUUGAUCAGCUAUAGCUCUGGGAUUUUUGCAGAUUUUCAAAUAAAACUCAGAGAUUCCUUGUAUGAUUCUCUCAGGUCUCUCUUUUGUGGUAUUUUUGGAUCCUUACCAAGGCAUUGAUGGUAUAUACCUUCUCUCAAGAUAUGUAGUAUUUGUGGUAUGAGGCAUAGUGACAUUGCCUUCUCUCUCACCCUACUCUAAUAAGCUUUAAUAUCUNNNNNNNNNNNNNNNNNNNNNNNNNNNNNNNNNNNNNNNNNNNNNNNNNNNNNNNNNNNNNNNNNNNNNNNNNNNNNNNNNNNNNNNNNNNNNNNNNNNNGAUAUAUAGCAAGUGGUAGUAACAAGAUAACUUGAGCAUUUAUUUCACAAGGGGAAAAUAGAAAUAUUUUUGGUUAUUCUCUCCCGGAUUAGGAGUAGAAUAUUUUUAGGUGGUUCUGGAGAUGGAAAUGAAUGGAUAUAUGUGGAUGGUACUUCCGGAGUAGAAGUAGCAUAUAUGAGUGAACGUGCAAGUGAAUCUUGAUUUAACCACAUGACAAGUUCCUAAGGGUCAACACAGCUUGACCACACUCAAUGCUCAUAAGCAGUAAAUAUUAAAUGUGUGGCUCAAAGUCUAGCAAGCAUGUAUGUAUGGCUGUGGUAGGAAUUUAAACUCUCAUCAUACAGGAACUCAUCAUGCAACAUUUUAAAUAUUUUCAAAGAUAAAAUUCUCCAGAAUUCUAGAAUCUCUAGGAACAGAUAAACAGCAGCUCAACCUUUCCAUAUCAUAUCCGUUAACAAAUUAGACUUCAGAUCAAGUUUUCAUCCCACAAGUUUAGGUCUAGGGUAAGCUUUAAAUUAUAACAGUUAUAUCUAAACUUGAGAGAGAACUUGAAAUUUGCAAAUUAGGCAGAGGAACUAUUUAUCAUAUCCAUGCUUAAGUUUUAUUUGAUAUAGAUUAGCAUAGCCACUUUAUUUAUUUAUUAAACACACUAAGCAAAAGACAUAUAUAAGCAUAAAAUCUUUAUUUGGUUUUCCCAUAGUUUAUGUGUAUUUUAAUAUUCUAAAAUAAUAUAAGUAUAAAGAUAGAUAGAAAUACUUAUCGUGAUAAAUGGGGGUGCUCUCCCCCAAGCUGAAUUUUGACGUAAUUUCUCUUGGUGUAGCUAGCAGGUGGUAGAGGUGUAUUUGAAAGUCAGCAGCAUUCUGACAGCGAUUAGAAUGUCCUCCGUCUGCCAGUCUUCUUGAUUCUUAAAUUUCUGUGGAGCUCAAAUAGACAACAAAGCUUGUGGAACUGAUUAAGUGUUAGCAUAAAUAUCUAGCCUUUAUUAUAUUGAGACUCCUUAAUAAAUGUUACUCCCUGUUUUUAUAUUUUUAUUUUAUAAAGCAGAAAAAUAUUUAUUUUAUUUUUAUGCCACCACAGUGAAUGUACUUAUGGGUUUUAUGCCACUCGUCUACUCACAUGGGGCUUACUGUUUUUCACAUUUUUAUUUUCUUUUUUUUAGGAUAAUACGAACAUGAUUAACUAAGUAAACUAUUUGAAAUAAUUGAAUGGGAAAGGAUAACUAGCAAGUUUACCUCUUGGCAAGGCGUUCGGUGUUUUUAAGUCCUCCGAACGGGACUCUCCAAUUUCUUAAUCGUCCUGAGGUUCGUUGGGUGGCGUAGUCGGUACUUCCGGCAGCGCCUCCUCUUCUUGUAUAGUUAUCUUCAUUUUUCACACCUGACUUGGUGCUUCAAUCUCCUCUAGAUAAUUAUGUUUAAACUCAACGUCUUGUGAUCUUACAACUUCUCCUUCAUAGUCUGCCCAUCCGUCCUUGAUGAUCUGCCUCCUCUGGUUGCGGUUGCGUCUCUUUCUGACCUGCUUAGAUUCUUCAACAAUAUAGUUAGGGUCAGUAAAAUAACGGCGUACCUUCUCUGAGGGGAAGUGCAUAUGGACUUCUCCGGUUCCAAUGUAGAUAAUUGCUUUAACGGUGCUGAGGAACGGUCUUCCAAGGAUGAUGGGUGGAUCAUACUCGUCUUCUCCCAUGUCAACAACUUGAAAGUCUGUGUAGACAAAGUGAUCGUCUAUUUUGACUGGGACAUCAGAUACUAUUCCUUUGACUUCUCGGAAUGUCUGAUCUGCCAUCUAGAGCUGAAUGUAUGUUGGUCUUAGUGGCAUGGUUCCGAACAAGAGCCGAUAGGUGACUGCGGCCAUUAUGUUGACGCCCGAUCCGAUGUCGCAAAUCAUCUUGUAGAAGUUGUAUCCAUUUAUGGAGUAGUAGAUGCUUGGCAUUCCUGGGUCGUCCUUCUUAGUCAAACACGGUGACUUAAGUUGGUGAUCUUGGCCUCCAUGAACUACAGUGACCAUCUUAGCUGACUCGGUCCACACUUGCUUGUUCCUGUUUCUCCUGUUGGUCCUCUUCCUUGAUUUACGUCUUGAUUGAUCUUGAAUUUGUGUAGUCUUGUUCUUGAAGAAAAAUGUCUCCUUCUUCCCUUUGACGUAGAAACUGAUCUUGGCAGCACUAGCAUAGAUGAUAGCUCCCGUGGUAUUCA